UGACUCAACACGGGAAACCUCACCAGGCCCAGACACCGGAAGGAUUGACAGAUUGAGAGCUCUUUCUUGAUUCGGUGGGUGGUGGUGCAUGGCCGUUCUUAGUUGGUGGAGCGAUUUGUCUGGUUAAUUCCGAUAACGAACGAGACUCUAGCCUGCUAAAUAGGCGUAUUUCGACAUCCUAAAGGCUCGCCGUUUUUUCGGGUUCGCUCGUUAAACGUGCGCGGUUUUUACUGUCGGCGUACAAACAAUUCUUCUUAGAGGGACAGGCGGCUUCUAGCCGCACGAGAUUGAGCAAUAACAGGUCAGUGAUGCCCUUAGAUGUUCUGGGCCGCACGCGCGCUACACUGAAGGAAUCAGCGUGUCCUCCCUGGCCGAGUGGCCCGGGUAACCCGCUGAACCUCCUUCGUGCUAGGGAUUGGGGCUUGCAAUUGUUCCCCAUGAACGAGGAAUUCCCAGUAAGCGCGAGUCAUAAGCUCGCGUUGAUUACGUCCCUGCCCUUUGUACACACCGCCCGUCGCUACUACCGAUUGAAUGAUUUAGUGAGGUCUUCGGACUGGUACGCGGUGGCGUUUCGACGUUGCCGAUGUAAUUGGAAAGAUGACCAAACUUGAUCAUUU
RNAcentral lists this ribosomal RNA (617 nucleotides) under Parahyocis championi. Its description in RNAcentral is "SSU rRNA". It matches the Rfam family "Eukaryotic small subunit ribosomal RNA", at positions 1196 to 1774 of the family's 1831-position model. Lineage: Eukaryota; Metazoa; Arthropoda; Insecta; Coleoptera; Tenebrionidae. The record is from RNAcentral.